This is a long non-coding RNA of Sitophilus oryzae (rice weevil), 784 nucleotides long. RefSeq lists it as uncharacterized. Lineage: Eukaryota; Metazoa; Arthropoda; Insecta; Coleoptera; Curculionidae. The record is from RefSeq and is a predicted model, not a curated record. The transcript has 2 exons.
AAUAUUUUCACAAAACUAAACAUUUUAGCAUAAAAUCACAGGUAAUAUAUAGAAUAUUACCUAUGAUAAAAUGUUAAAUACUGAUGUAUAUUUAUUCUAAUCACAUUUAAAUUUAAACUCAAAAUUUUCAUAAAAAGAAAAUGAUAAUUUUUCGUAAAUAUAAAGUAAAUAAUAUUACAUAUUUCAGGUUGAUUGACGAAUACUCUACAGUUGAUUAGAGCCCAUGAUGAUGCGAAGAUAAUUAAUAUCACCUAACUUCAAGAAACCAGCAUAAAGAAGUUUACAUUCAUAACUCAUCUAACCAUUAUAGAUCAGUAAUGUCGUCAUAAUUUAAAUGAACUCACAGAUAGCAAUGGGGCACUGCACCGAAGCAGUAUUACAAAAUAUGUGAAAUAAAACUGUAAUACAAAUUGCUCUAUAAAAUUUAAUAGAAAUAAAUUUAUUUAUGAAAAUUAAGUUAUGAAGUUUUAUUUUUCCUAGGAAAAAAAUAACAUUUAUAUUUUGAUCAAUUUAGAACAUUACAGUUAAAAAAAUAUGUGUUAGAAUAACAUAUUUUUAAUAAAAUUGCAGCUUUUAAUUUUUAUACUUUUUUGCUUUUAUAUCAAUAAGAACUAACGUAAGGAACAAUUCAUAUUUAUACUAUGAAAACACAUGCAUAUUUUUUGAUGUUUUUAAAACCAGUGAAUGAUGUUGAAAUAUACUACACCUAUUAUUCUUAUUAACUAACUUUAAUUACAAACUUACACAUUAUUGUCAUUGGAAAUAAAUUAAUUUGGAUAUUCUA